UAGGGAAUCUUCGGCAAUGGACGAAAGUCUGACCGAGCAACGCCGCGUGAGUGAAGAAGGUUCUCGGAUCGUAAAACUCUGUUGUUAGAGAAGAACAAGGACGUUAGUAACUGAACGUCCCCUGACGGUAUCUAACCAGAAAGCCACGGCUAACUACGUGCCAGCAGCCGCGGUAAUACGUAGGUGGCAAGCGUUGUCCGGAUUUAUUGGGCGUAAAGCGAGCGCAGGCGGUUUCUUAAGUCUGAUGUGAAAGCCCCCGGCUCAACCGGGGAGGGUCAUUGUAAACUGGGAGACUUGAGUGCAGAAGAGGGGAGUGGAAUUCCAUGUGUAGCGGUGAAAUGCGUAGAUAUAUGGGGGAACACCAGUGGCGAAGGCGGAUCUCUGGUCUGUAACUGACGCUGAGGCUCGAAAGCGUGGGGAGCAAACAGG
This 429-nucleotide ribosomal RNA is filed under the name Gemmatimonadota bacterium. RNAcentral describes it as "Gemmatimonadetes bacterium partial 16S ribosomal RNA". It matches the Rfam family "Bacterial small subunit ribosomal RNA", at positions 355 to 776 of the family's 1533-position model. The record is from RNAcentral. Lineage: Bacteria; Pseudomonadati; Gemmatimonadota.